UUAUAUACCGACACUCUU
Molecule: small nuclear RNA, 18 nt
Filed under: Arabidopsis thaliana (thale cress)
Lineage: Eukaryota; Viridiplantae; Streptophyta; Magnoliopsida; Brassicales; Brassicaceae
Description: snRNA_02299
Source: RNAcentral